This 67-nucleotide transfer RNA is filed under the name Ichthyophis bannanicus. RNAcentral's name for it is "tRNA-Thr". It matches the Rfam family "tRNA". From Rfam's summary of the family: Transfer RNA (tRNA) molecules are approximately 80 nucleotides in length. Their secondary structure includes four short double-helical elements and three loops (D, anti-codon, and T loops). Further hydrogen bonds mediate the characteristic L-shaped molecular structure. tRNAs have two regions of fundamental functional importance: the anti-codon, which is responsible for specific mRNA codon recognition, and the 3' end, to which the tRNAs corresponding amino acid is attached (by aminoacyl-tRNA synthetases). tRNAs cope with the degeneracy of the genetic code in two manners: having more than one tRNA (with a specific anti-codon) for a particular amino acid; and 'wobble' base-pairing, i.e. permitting non-standard base-pairing at the 3rd anti-codon position. The record is from RNAcentral. Lineage: Eukaryota; Metazoa; Chordata; Amphibia; Gymnophiona; Ichthyophiidae.
UUUAGUAGCUUAUCAGAAAGCAUUAGCCUUGUAAACUAAAGAUAGAGGCUCACCCCUCUCUUAAACU